Molecule: ribosomal RNA, 496 nt
Filed under: uncultured bacterium
Lineage: Bacteria
Description: partial 16S ribosomal RNA
Rfam family: Bacterial small subunit ribosomal RNA
Source: RNAcentral
GAUGAACGCUGGCGGCGUGCCUAAUACAUGCAAGUCGAGCGAACGGACGAGAAGCUUGCUUUUCUGAUGUUAGCGGCGGAAGGGUGAGUAACACGUGGAUAACCUACCUAUAAGACUGGGAUAACUUCGGGAAACCGGAGCUAAUACCGGAUAAUAUUUUGAACCGCAUGGUUCAAAAGUGAAAGACGGUCUUGCUGUCACUUAUAGAUGGAUCCGCGCUGCAUUAGCUAGUUGGUAAGGUAACGGCUUACCAAGGCAACGAUGCAUAGCCGACCUGAGAGGGUGAUCGGCCACACUGGAACUGAGACACGGUCCAGACUCCUACGGGAGGCAGCAGUAGGGAAUCUUCCGCAAUGGGCGAAAGCCUGACGGAGCAACGCCGCGUGAGUGAUGAAGGUCUUCGGAUCGUAAAACUCUGUUAUUAGGGAAGAACAUAUGUGUAAGUAACUGUGCACAUCUGGACGGUACCUAAUCAGAAAGCCACGGCUAACUACGU